CUGAACUGAAGCCCCACACAUCUGCACAUUAGCCAGGUUGGGAGCCAGCUUUGCUCUCCCUCACCUCAGCAGCUCGGUGCUCUGCGUUCAGACCCCUCGGAUGGCCUCAAGCCCUCCCGUGACGGGGCCACUGUCUGCCUCUCCUGCCUGAUCCUGUGCCCCUCCACGCCUCACCAGUCUCACAGCCACGCUGGCCUUGUGUCUCUUUGCGUGGGCCUGGAACACUAGCCCUGUCCAUAAAGAUCGGUUGGAUAAAGAGAAAGGACCCUGUGACAUAAGCCACCUUGUGUCUUCUUCUGGGUGGGAGGAUGAGGCUUUCCCAUUAUCAAGUCUUUCCACUUCCUGCUCCACCAUGGUUCUUGACUCAGGGUCACCUGGGCAAUACAACUAUGUUUCCUUGUCUGGCAACCUCUGAGCCUUGCAUCAGAAGGUUAAGUAAAGGCAACCUAAGAUCCAGUAUGAGAACUUCAUUCAUGAGUGAAAUCACAUUUUUCUCCAUCCUCUUUCAGAAAAAUGUUUCUUUGACACCAAACUCUUGGCAGCUGCAGGAAGAGGCCAACAUGCCUAAUGUAGGCACAACUGAACUGUUCCUUCUACUCUGAGAUCUCCAUCACCCACAUCUGAGGGCAUCCAAGUGAGGGCAGUGUGGGUGAUUAGCAUUGUUAGAACUAGCCUCUCAUCCAGAAGGACGGAUUAAAUUUCCACUCGUCCAAAGUCAGGAGUAUCUCCUGAGCCUGUUAUCAUUAGAAACAAGCUAAUGGUUCCAGUUCUGAAGGUGGCUGAUGCAGGAACAAUCAUACAUACAUCACACCCCGCUUUGUUCCCAGGCCACCUUGCAGGGUAACAUAACCUCAGAACACACCACUGUCUAAAUAAGGAAAUAACUGGUGGGAAUCACAUGAAGGCAGAUUUGGAGUUAAUAUGGAACCUGAGCUGGCCAAUGGGACUGUAAUCUAUGGAACUGGCUGCUAGCAUAGUGGAGAAUGUCCAUCAUUGGAGGUGUUCGCCUGAGGACCACAUGACCACUUCCCUCCAUGAGAGCAUUUGCAGGACUCUCCACAGGGAAUUCCAAGGUCCCUUCUCUUCUUGCGUUUCCCAGUGCUACAGUCACUCCAACAACCUCAUCUUGACACUUGCCAUCCUCCUGCAAGAAUAUUGGUCUCCAACACUCAUCUGCAUGAUGUGACGGCAUCCCACGCUCUUGUUGUGCUCAGUCUUGAUUGGCUGCACCAGGUGGCUGCUGCAUUUACCCACAUUGGAGGUCAAAGGAAGGAGGCUUCACUCAUGAUGAUGUGAGGAUGUUCCAAUGCACCCUGGGCUCGAUGAAGAAAUUGGCAGUGUACUUGGAAAAAUAUCAGCCUUUUCCAGAGUGAAAAUUCAAGUGUAAAAUCUGCUUCUACACCAGAGCCUGCCACUCUUGUUUUGGGGUGGGAAUAAUUAUUAUAUCUUAGAUUUUUCUCUUUAGAAAAAAGUUCAAGUAGGAUUUGCACAAAAUUGUAAGAACAUUUUUAAAGAUUUUCUGAUGUAUAAAGAAUAUGACUUUGAAUGUGUGGAUCUGGAUAAAGGAUAUAAUUUUGUGUAGGAUGGUGACUUCAAAUGAAAAGGUAGCGUUGUUAUUUUAAAAAGGAGUGGAAUGUGCUUCAUGGAAAACCAAGCCUAUACUAGGUAGUUUACUGUUUGCAAGUUUCAUGUGUAUCAAAAACAAAUGUUUCUCAGGAAAGAAUUAUAUGUUUAUUGUUUUCACUACAGGUACAGUCUUCAGACAGCUUCCCUCGGUCACUCAGUAAAUGCUUACUGCAUAAGGAAUUACAGCAAGAAUAUUUAUGUCUAUUGCUUUUAAGUUUUUGGAAGAUGGGAGAGAUGGAGGGAUGAUUGGUGUGCAUACAUGGAUGUUCGCUAAAAUGUCCAAACUAUUUUAGGGUUUGUGGAUGGAAUUAACUCUUAUUUAAUGUUUUUUGAAAGAACUGUCAGAGAAGAGGUUGAAGAGAUUGUUUUCUUUUCACUGGGUGUUUUGUUUUGUUUUAUUUUGUUUGCAUUGCAAUUCUUAUUACAUAUAUAUAACACAAUUUUUCAUAUCUCUGUUUGUAUAUAAAGUAUGUUGACACCCAAUUUGUGUCUUCAUACAUGUACUUUGAUUAAUGACUGGGAACAUUUUAAAGAGAAGAAAUACUGAGACCUUUCUGGUUUUAUUUACUCAAAGUUAUACUGAAAUGUUAUUUCAAAUUGAAUUAAAAUUUCACAAGAAUUAGGCACAUGCUCUUGAAGACAGAUUAUGUGAAUGUGAAAUAUGAUGAAAAGGGAAUGAAGAAAUGCACGAUUCAGAUUCAUGUAUUUAAAAAGGAAGGAAUUGUUUUGACCUUGAACUGGAUGUGGCACCCCUCCUGUAAAUUAAAUCCUUAGAAAUGAGCUUCUGGGAAAAUUGCAUUCUAGAAUAUGUUAAUAAAUUAUUAGAAUAUGUGAAAAGCCA
Marmota monax (woodchuck) is the source of this 2467-nucleotide long non-coding RNA. RefSeq lists it as uncharacterized. The transcript has 2 exons. The record is from RefSeq and is a predicted model, not a curated record. NCBI's taxonomy places the organism in Eukaryota, Metazoa, Chordata, Mammalia, Rodentia, Sciuridae.